AGGGCACCACUAGGAGUGGAGCCUGCGGCUUAAUUUGACUCAACACGGGAAAACUCACCCGGCCCGGACACUGGAAGGAUUGACAGAUUGAGAGCUCUUUCUUGAUUCAGUGGGUGGUGGUGCAUGGCCGUUCUUAGUUGGUGGAGCGAUUUGUCUGGUUAAUUCCGAUAACGAACGAGACUCUAGCCUACUAAAUAGAUCGUCGGCUUACAAACGCUGAUGAGACUUCUUAGAGGGACAGGCGGCGAUUCAGCCGCACGAAACAGAGCAAUAACAGGUCUGUGAUGCCCUUAGAUGUCCGGGGCCGCACGCGCGCUACACUGAAGUGAUCAGCGUGCAUUUUCAGCCUACUCUGCCAAGAGUGGGAAACCCCAUGAACCUUCUUCGUGAUUGGGAUGGGAGAUUGUAAUUAUUCUCCUUGAACGAGGAAUUCCCAGUAAGCGCGAGUCAUAAGCUCGCGUUGAUUACGUCCCUGCCCUUUGUACACACCGCCCGUCGCUACUACCGAUUGAAUGUUUU
This 519-nucleotide ribosomal RNA is filed under the name uncultured eukaryote. RNAcentral's name for it is "SSU rRNA". It matches the Rfam family "Eukaryotic small subunit ribosomal RNA", at positions 1161 to 1699 of the family's 1831-position model. The record is from RNAcentral.